Pelobates cultripes (western spadefoot toad) is the source of this 237-nucleotide non-coding RNA. NCBI's taxonomy places the organism in Eukaryota, Metazoa, Chordata, Amphibia, Anura, Pelobatidae. The record is from the annotation of a GenBank genome assembly.
GGUUCCCACACUUAAGAGUUAAUCGUUUUACAAACACACACUAAUCCUCUGCUAACACACAUAUAUCUUAUAAGCUAACUAAAAGUUGAAGCAAGGUGUUACUACUAGUGUUUGACUACCAUAAAUUAGCAUGACCUUUAUUACUGAACACACUUGCUUAUCACCUGGCAUUAAUAGCACCAGCUGGUUAACAUAUAGAACAGAGCAGCUCAUGUCACAGUUUACGCAAAGCUUUAU